Molecule: ribosomal RNA, 502 nt
Filed under: Streptococcus intermedius
Lineage: Bacteria; Bacillati; Bacillota; Bacilli; Lactobacillales; Streptococcaceae
Description: bacterial SSU rRNA
Rfam family: Bacterial small subunit ribosomal RNA
Source: RNAcentral
GACGAACGCUGGCGGCGUGCCUAAUACAUGCAAGUAGAACGCACAGGAUGCACCGUAGUUUACUACACCGUAUUCUGUGAGUUGCGAACGGGUGAGUAACGCGUAGGUAACCUGCCUGGUAGCGGGGGAUAACUAUUGGAAACGAUAGCUAAUACCGCAUAAGAACAUUUACUGCAUGGUAGAUGUUUAAAAGGUGCAAAUGCAUCACUACCAGAUGGACCUGCGUUGUAUUAGCUAGUAGGUGAGGUAACGGCUCACCUAGGCGACGAUACAUAGCCGACCUGAGAGGGUGAUCGGCCACACUGGGACUGAGACACGGCCCAGACUCCUACGGGAGGCAGCAGUAGGGAAUCUUCGGCAAUGGGGGGAACCCUGACCGAGCAACGCCGCGUGAGUGAAGAAGGUUUUCGGAUCGUAAAGCUCUGUUGUUAAGGAAGAACGAGUGUGAGAAUGGAGAGUUCAUACUGUGACGGUACUUAACCAGAAAGGGACGGCUAACUAC